RNAcentral lists this ribosomal RNA (478 nucleotides) under uncultured bacterium. Its description in RNAcentral is "partial 16S ribosomal RNA". It matches the Rfam family "Bacterial small subunit ribosomal RNA", at positions 28 to 523 of the family's 1533-position model. The record is from RNAcentral.
GACGAACGCUGGCGGCGUGCUUAACACGCGCAAGUCGAACGGUAAGGCCCUUCGGGGUACACGAGUGGUGAACGGGUGAGUAACACGUGGGUGAUCUGCCCUGCACUUCGGGAUAAGCCUGGGAAACUGGGUCUAAUACCGGAUAGGACCACUGCCUGCAUGGGUGGUGGUGGAAAGCUUUUGCGGUGUGGGAUGGGCCCGCGGCCUAUCAGCUUGUUGGUGGGGUGAUGGCCUACCAAGGCGACGACGGGUAGCCGGCCUGAGAGGGUGACCGGCCACACUGGGACUGGGAUACGGCCCAGACUCCUACGGGAGGCAGCAGUGGGGAAUAUUGCACAAUGGGCGCAAGCCUGAUGCAGCGACGCCGCGUGAGGGAUGACGGCCUUCGGGUUGUAAACCUCUUUCAGCACCGACGAAGCGCAAGUGACGGUAGGUGCAGAAGAAGGACCGGCCAACUACGUGCCAGCCGCCGCAGUAA